GCCGUCUCAGGAGGUUCCGGGCUGCGGGCCGUCUCAGGAGGUUCCGGGCUGCGGGCCGUCUCAGGAGGUUCCGGACUGGGAACUGUCGCCGGAAGCUCUGGACUGGGAACUGUCGCCGGAAGCUCUGGCCUGGGAACUGUCGUCGGAAGCUCUGGACUGGGAACGUGCACUGGAGGCCUGAUGCGUGGGGCUGGCAUAGGUGGCACCAGACUGGUAACACGCACCUCAGGGCAAGUGCGGGAAGCAGGAACAGGGCGUACCAGGCUGGAUAGACUCACUGGAGACCGGGUACGUGGGGCAGGCACAGGAUAUACUGGACCGUGGAGGCGCACUGGAGGUCUCGAGCGUAGAGCUGGCACAACCCGUCCUGGCUGGAUGCUUACUUUCGCCCGGCAAACGCGGGGAGCUGGCACAGGACGAACUGGGCUGUGAAUACGCACUGGCGACACAGUGCGCAGCGCCGGCGCAGGAUAUCCUGGACCGAGAAGGCGAACUGGAGACCAGGAGCGCUGAGCUGGCACCACCCUUCCUGGCUGAAUGCUCAACCGAGCUCGGCAAAUGCAGGGCGCGGGCACAGAUCACACCGGGCUGUGAAUAACACGAAUAACACGCAUAACACGGUGCUUGCUUCGUCACUCGCUCCCCAAGGUAAGCACGGGGAGUUGGCUCAGGUCUCCACCCUGGCUCUGCCAAUCUCCCCGUGUGCCCCCCCGCCUCUCGGGCUUCCGUCGUUGCUGUGACUCCCUCGCUGCCUCCACCUGCUUCCCCGGCAGGCUGUUGUAUCUCUCCAAUACCUGCUCCCAAGUCCAGUCUAUCCUUUUCUCCAACUCCUCCAGCGACCAGGAUGCCAUCUCCUCCUGGGCACGCUGCUUAAUAAAGUCCUCCUGACCGCGCUGCUUGGUCCUUUGGUUGUGGGAGAUUCUGUCAUGGUUGUCAUAGAGAGAUCUCUAAUUGAUCUCCAAUUAGAGACAACGAGGACCAGCUGCCUCUAAUUGGAGAUCAUCCCAAACAAAACCAACAUAGAAAUACAAAACUAGAACAUAAACAUAGAAAUACAAAACAUAGAAAAACACCCCCUGUCACGCCCUGACCUACUCUACCAUAGGAAAUAACAUCUUACUAUGGUCAGGACGUGACAGAGGUAUAUAAAGAUGUUAAAUUAUUCACAGAAAUGUGGUAAGAAUGUGUCCUGUCAGAAUAAAGCUGUCAGAAUCUGUGUUUUCUGAGUAUGCUUUGAUCCUUUUUUGCUAUAUUUAAUCUUCAAUCAUGUGUUUAUACAUG
This 1281-nucleotide long non-coding RNA is filed under the name Salmo salar (Atlantic salmon). RNAcentral describes it as "lncRNA (ENSSSAG00000100839.1)". Lineage: Eukaryota; Metazoa; Chordata; Actinopteri; Salmoniformes; Salmonidae. The record is from RNAcentral.